RNAcentral lists this transfer RNA (89 nucleotides) under Thermoplasmatales archaeon. RNAcentral's name for it is "tRNA-Leu". It matches the Rfam family "tRNA". Rfam says of the family: Transfer RNA (tRNA) molecules are approximately 80 nucleotides in length. Their secondary structure includes four short double-helical elements and three loops (D, anti-codon, and T loops). Further hydrogen bonds mediate the characteristic L-shaped molecular structure. tRNAs have two regions of fundamental functional importance: the anti-codon, which is responsible for specific mRNA codon recognition, and the 3' end, to which the tRNAs corresponding amino acid is attached (by aminoacyl-tRNA synthetases). tRNAs cope with the degeneracy of the genetic code in two manners: having more than one tRNA (with a specific anti-codon) for a particular amino acid; and 'wobble' base-pairing, i.e. permitting non-standard base-pairing at the 3rd anti-codon position. The record is from RNAcentral. Lineage: Archaea; Methanobacteriati; Thermoplasmatota; Thermoplasmata; Thermoplasmatales.
UGCGGAGGUUGUCGAGCUAGGUUAAAGGCGAUGGAUUUAGGGUCCAUUCCCGUAGGGGUCCGCCGGUUCGAAUCCGGCCCUCCGCAUCC